CUUUCCCUCAUCGCUCUGCUCAUCUCUUUAUCUCUGGCCGCUGUCAUGUUAUCUCCCAGCCUAUCUUGCUCUCAUCUCCCGCUCUCUGCCUGUCUUCACCCCUCCCCCAUCCCCAUCCUCCCCCCUCGCUCUGGCUAUCUCCUUGCCAUCUGUAUGGCAGUCUGGCAAACACUCAGAGGCUCCCCAGCCCUGCCGGCACUAUCACCUCCUCCCCACUGCCCCCUGCCCUGGGACUUCUCUGGCUGAACCCUCCUACCCCUGCCCAUGGCGCUCUGCCUCCUCUUUCCCUUCAGCAGCCCUGGCGGGAGCCACUUCCUGGCAGGCGCCCCCAGCCCAGGUGGGUGGCUGUGGAGUGGAGCAAUGCGGGCAGAUGAGGGCGGAACGCAGUCUCCUGGGCGAGGGUCGGGCCUGCUAAUUCCCCCGCUCUGGGUGGAGGACGCGGAGGCCUCAUUCAAUUAUGUCACAUCCACUCAGCCGCUCCACCCAGAUGAUCCAGAGCAGCCUGCUCGCCCUUCCCUGCCAGGACCUAAUGGAGAGAGAGCUCCUUCGGCCUGGCUGACACAGGGCCCCUGGAACGAGGAUGGCCGGCCGUCUGGCCUUGGGGUCUCAGCCUGCCAUUAUUCACUGCCCACCCUGAUCACACCCAACAACUGGCCUCUGGAGUUUGCCCCUCUCGCUGUAAUCCCAGUGGAAUUGGACCUCAGGGCCUCUCAUUCCAUUACCGCACGCCGCCUUGGCCACUGCCUGCAGGAGCCAGGCUGGCCCUGCCUCUUCUCAGAGGUCUUCACUGACGAAGGGCCAUACCAGGCGCUGUGAGAGAGCCCAGAGAAGCCCCAAACCCUGUCUCUUUCCUCGAGAAGCUUAGCCAGGGGAGAUGAGGCCAGCAGAACGAAACAGAUGAGGAUGCCGAGGCCCAGAGAGGGAAGUGACAUGGCGAGGUCAUCAGCUGACUUAGUGGCGGAGCCAGAGACACACCCACGACUUUUGCGAAUCACUUUAGCAGUUGAUUGAAGCAGUGUGUGUCACCUGAAAAUAAUUAGGGCGCUGGGAGAGAGGGAAGCGUGGACGUUGAGACCCUGCCUCGUGAACUUCUCGUCUCGUCACUCCUGCCAGGUGGUGAGGGGUGCUGACAGUGUUUCUCUCCCAGACGGUAGUGGCUCCGUCUUGGCCCCCCUCCUCUCUUCUCCAUGACCUCACUCCUGGCAUCUUUGGUGGAGAAGUUGGGCAGAUUAUAGUUUCGCAG
RNAcentral lists this long non-coding RNA (1243 nucleotides) under Equus caballus (horse). RNAcentral's name for it is "lncRNA (ENSECAG00000037222.2)". The record is from RNAcentral. Lineage: Eukaryota; Metazoa; Chordata; Mammalia; Perissodactyla; Equidae.